Molecule: ribosomal RNA, 122 nt
Filed under: Pectobacterium sp. F1-1
Lineage: Bacteria; Pseudomonadati; Pseudomonadota; Gammaproteobacteria; Enterobacterales; Pectobacteriaceae
Source: RNAcentral
UUGCCUGGCGGCGAUAGCGCGGUGGUCCCACCUGACCCCAUGCCGAACUCAGAAGUGAAACGCCGUAGCGCCGAUGGUAGUGUGGGGUUUCCCCAUGUGAGAGUAGGGAACUGCCAGGCAUC